CAAAAAUUUUGGCAAAAAAGAAAAAAAAAGAAAAGGCGCGAGAUGUGACGACCCUGGUCUAGCAAUAUACCAAUCACACAGCGACAGCUGUCCGUCUGUUCAUAUAAAUUCGUUCUUUCUUUUCUUACUUGAUUUCCCCUCCGGUCUGAAAUUUCGAAUUUCGUUGCUGCCAUGGACCCAAACCAAGGCGGAAAGAAGAAACGGAAAAGAAAGAGAAAUAGCCUGAAAGAAAUGGCGGGGGCUCUGGCUGUACCAUGCGAGCAGUGGCGGAGCGCCAUUAGAAUUUAGAGAGAGAGAGAGAGCAGUGGGAGGUCCACUUCCUCCUCCGGCUACCUCCACUCCACCACGUGUCCCGAUCUCGUGCCUCUGGAUCCAAGUACAGAAAGCGAUGGCCAUUUGAAAGAUGGAUCUCGAUUCUCUUCCAACUCAGACGUCGUCCUCACCGUCUGUUUCACUGGCAAGAUUCUGGUGAGUCUACGCUGCCUGUCUCGAUUACCUUCUCGUCUUGUUGAUUUAUUUUGCUAUGUGAAAUUGUCUUUCAACUGUUUAUUUGCGUUUCGUUGCUGUUGCUGAGAAAAUCAAGGGAAAGCGAAUUGAACUAGUUGUACGAUUGAAAUUCUAGUAUCUUUCAUAGCACGUCUCCCCGUGACUAAAUUCUAGUGCUGAGAAUUUUUCUGAAUUUGUUUUUUUGUGUGAAGAAUUUAUUUGAAUUUGAAUGGCGUGAGCAAUGAAUGAUAUAAUGAAGAGAAUUUGUUACUUGUGUCAAAUGUUUCGAUCCUUCUGGAAAUAUCCUUUGAUUCAAUUUUCUAUAUUAAUUUAUCACAAGAUUUUACGAUCGAUUUCGGGAAAAAACUGUACGGAGGGAGUUGUCUUUUUACAUUUCCUGGUUAUUGGAAGCAUUGCAUUAUUUAACGAUCUGACUGAUAAUCACAAUUUGUUAUUGAAAAGGUAGUGAGGAAUUUUGAGAAUUGACAAGUACAAUGAUGAAGAAAAUGAAAACUUGAGGCCUACAUAACUCAAUUGACAAGUAUUUACAUCAGUAGCUUACAGUAACUCUUUUUUGGAUGAAAUUCUUAGAUAGGUCUAUAAUUGUUUUUUUAGUACUUUUGGGAGUUAUCUAAUUGUUGUGAUUACAAGUAGGGAAAAGAAUAAAAAAAUUUAUAUAUUUACAACAAGUGAAAGCGAUUCGUUUACCUAAAUAUCUCAAACAGUAGUUUCUGUAACACAUACACGAUCGCUAAUUGAUACCAAAUAUAGUGUUUCUUAUGUAGUUUAGUAUCUCCAGAUGUGAAGUACAUAUCUGCCACUCCUGGUUCCGCUGUGAAGGACAUUUGUGGUGUUGCUGGCAGAGCUGGUGAAGGAGGAAAUGGUAGGAGCGGAGCUAGGGGUGUAAAUGGCAUAGGAGGAGCUUGCAGAGGCCUAGUUGGCAGAGGCAGAUCUGGUGGAGGCGUAGUUGCCGGCAUAGGCGAAGAUGGCGAAGGUAGAGGCACAGAGAGAGAGAGAGAGGCGGAGAUGGCGGAGGCGUAACUGGCAAGGGCGGAGUUGGCAAAAUCAGAGCUAUUGGAGGUGUAGUCGGCACAGGCGGAGAUGGCGGAGGCGUAACGGGCAAAGGCGGAGCUGAUGGAGGCGUAGCUGACAGAGAAGUAGUUGGUUUGUCCCCUGACUUGAGGCAAGGUACAUUGGGCACAGUAGUGCCAAGGGAAGUUCCAAUAGCAUUAUUGCAGGAGGCAUAAAUCUUCUUGCCAAGAACCGCAGAAGUGAUUUUGAUGCAGUCCAUUAUAAUGUUGUGGCAACCUGAAUUCUGGUCACAAUCUAACUAGAUCGCCUCCUCACUCACAGAAGUUCCUUCAAAAUCAAUGUACUUCACAUAAUCCACCGACAAAGUCGAGGGCUGACUUUUGCAGUCGUGAUCACGGUCACAAUAAAACUGGUCAAUGAUGAUAGGAUUUUUAGCUGCAUCGAGUGUGAUCUUUUCAAAAGUUAUGUUCCUAGCAUACCCCGAUCCGCCCUGCCAUGUCUUGAUUCUAGCUCCAUUUGUAGUCCCACUGAAACUACAAUCUUUCACGUACACAUUGUUCACUUUCUCAAGCGCCCCAUUUGCUCCCAAGCUUCCCACACUUUUUGCAAAAUAAAAUUUUAAGUUAAUAUGAUAUUUUAAGCGAAACUUUUUCAAUAAGGAUUUGUGUUAAGGACUACGUACCUUAUAC
This 2207-nucleotide long non-coding RNA is filed under the name Prunus dulcis (almond). RNAcentral describes it as "sRNA ncRNA". Lineage: Eukaryota; Viridiplantae; Streptophyta; Magnoliopsida; Rosales; Rosaceae. The record is from RNAcentral.